CUCUGUUGUUCCACCAGCAGCAGAAUCCCUCUCUGUGAUGAAUACACACAUCACCUCACGCAUGGCUGGACUACUGCUGCCUGUCCACAGCCUCACCACAGUCAGUGGCCUGAGUUUAGGUGUGGAGCCCUUGGAACUGAUUAGGUCUGUGUGCCCUUUACCUGCAGCCAGACUCCUUCACCCCGCAGGCUUGUUCCAGAUGUGCCAUUAAACGCUUGUAUGAUGUCCAUCUGAAGGACUUAUUGGAAAAUCGCAUGUCUUUAUUACAUUGUAAUUACAUGUGUAAGUACAGUGUUUGGAUGGAUCAGUUGAAUUAUUAUAUAAUACACAGGGAAUUGCUGGCCUCUCAGCGAAAGUGUUUGUUUGUGUCCGAAUGGCACCCUUCUAUUUAUAGUGGACUACUUUUGACUAGGGUCCAUACAGGUCUCUGGUCAAAAGUAGUGCACUACACAGGGAGUAAUGUGCCAUUUGGGACUUAACCUGUAUGUUUUGUGAUGCCUCCCCCACUUCAGUGAGAAGAUUCGCUGGGAAUCCUUGGCCAGCUGGACCCUCCAACCUGUUCCACAGCUUUCCCCCACAGGGAAAUCUUAUAGUAGCCUGGCAGUGUUGGCUGUGGCCAGAGGCAACAAGGAUGGAUCUUGACUUAUGUCCAAUGAACUUCAGAAGCUGGAAAAAAGGGCAUCGAUGUG
Oncorhynchus masou masou (cherry salmon) is the source of this 689-nucleotide long non-coding RNA. RefSeq lists it as uncharacterized. Lineage: Eukaryota; Metazoa; Chordata; Actinopteri; Salmoniformes; Salmonidae. The record is from RefSeq and is a predicted model, not a curated record. The transcript is spliced from 3 exons.